RNAcentral lists this ribosomal RNA (414 nucleotides) under uncultured bacterium. Its description in RNAcentral is "partial 16S ribosomal RNA". It matches the Rfam family "Bacterial small subunit ribosomal RNA", at positions 355 to 761 of the family's 1533-position model. The record is from RNAcentral.
UGGGGAAUAUUGCACAAUGGGCGCAAGCCUGAUGCAGCCAUGCCGCGUGUGUGAAGAAGGCCUUCGGGUUGUAAAGCGCUUUCAGCGAGGAGGAAGGGUAGUGUGUUAAUAGCACAUUGCAUUGACGUUACUCGCAGAAGAAGCACCGGCUAACUCCGUGCCAGCAGCCGCGGUAAUACGGAGGGUGCAAGCGUUAAUCGGAAUUACUGGGCGUAAAGCGCACGCAGGCGGUUUGUUAAGUCAGAUGUGAAAUCCCCGCGCUUAACGUGGGAACUGCAUUUGAAACUGGCAAGCUAGAGUCUUGUAGAGGGGGGUAGAAUUCCAGGUGUAGCGGUGAAAUGCGUAGAGAUCUGGAGGAAUACCGGUGGCGAAGGCGGCCCCCUGGACAAAGACUGACGCUCAGGUGCGAAAGCG